AUUGAACGCUGGCGGCAUGCCUUACACAUGCAAGUCGAACGGUAACGGGCCUUCGGGUGCCGACGAGUGGCGAACGGGUGAGUAAUGUAUCGGAACGUACCUUUCAGUGGGGGAUAACGUAGCGAAAGUUACGCUAAUACCGCAUAUUCUGUGAGCAGGAAAGCAGGGGAUCGCAAGACCUUGCGCUGAUUGAGCGGCCGAUAUCAGAUUAGCUAGUUGGUGAGGUAAAGGCUCACCAAGGCGACGAUCUGUAGCGGGUCUGAGAGGAUGAUCCGCCACACUGGAACUGAGACACGGUCCAGACUCCUACGGGAGGCAGCAGUGGGGAAUUUUGGACAAUGGGGGCAACCCUGAUCCAGCCAUGCCGCGUGAGUGAAGAAGGCCUUGGGUUGUAAGCUCUUUCGGCCGGGAAGAAUCGUAUGGGUUAAUACCUCGUGCGGAUGACGGUACCGGCAUAAGAAGCACCGGCUAACCUACGUGCCACGCACGCCGUAAC
This 496-nucleotide ribosomal RNA is filed under the name uncultured bacterium. RNAcentral's name for it is "bacterial SSU rRNA". It matches the Rfam family "Bacterial small subunit ribosomal RNA", at positions 30 to 524 of the family's 1533-position model. The record is from RNAcentral.